Molecule: long non-coding RNA, 2109 nt
Organism: Ochotona curzoniae (black-lipped pika)
Lineage: Eukaryota; Metazoa; Chordata; Mammalia; Lagomorpha; Ochotonidae
Exons: 2
Source: RefSeq, a predicted model, not a curated record
AUAACAAACCUUUCACAAUAGCUUUUUAAAAUUUAAACAUAUACACAGAGAAACUAGCAUUAUCAUGGAGGGAGAUUUGCAUGUACUUCUCUGAGGAACUGACAAACCAAGCAGAUACAAAAAUAAUGAGUCUUAAACGUGAUUGUUUCUGAUUUUUUUUAUAAUAUACUGAGAAUAUUAAUACUUUCAUACUGAUGCAUGCUUAAAACCUUAAAAUAUUCAAAUUCUCAGAAAACAAUAACCUAAUAAAACCCAUUCAAGAGAGGAAAAACAUGUGUGUAAUCCUAUUAUCAGAAUAGUGUAAUUAGUUUUUCAGAGUAUCACAUGAGAAAGUCCAGACUACCAUUCAUGUUACAAGGAGCUAUAAUCUCACAAGUUCCAGAAAAACAAGCAACACUACUCUUCGAGCCAUUGUAGGAAGUCAAAAGCAAAACAAGGACAGUACAGGAAGGGAGAUGAAAACCAGCCUUACUCAACAGCAGACAUGAAGAAAGCAUUAUUACCACAUAAUGAAGUCAAAAAGUUCAUGCUAGUGUUGUUAUUCAUAAAAUUGGUGUUGGAGGUUUAAAAUAAAAAUCCCUAAUAUUUAGGACUGCAUAUUAUGUAGGAGUGAUAAGAUAUAAGAAGGUGAAAUUUAUAAAAAAAAAAAAAAAAACAAACCUUGCUUGGAGAUAAAGUACAAAUGUCUGAUCUCACAUGUUUCAGAAUCUGGAUGAGUCUCCAGGAUUUUCCUUUCUUAUCUUUUCCUUUUAUGUGUAUUUGAAAUUUUCAAAAUAAGGUUAGAAAUGUUUAUAUGUAAUUUCUUUUAAAAAGAGAAACAUUGAGGCUCUAGAAGCUAAUGCUGUGGAUAUAGACAGUUAGCAUGGUCAGAUGGGAAAUGCAUUUUUAAGGCAUUUGACUUGGCGUACUCCAAAAGGAAUUCCAAGCAUGGGACACCACAGGGGAAGGCAGAGCUUCACCUGCACAAGAAUAUUCCAGGAGGAUAGAUGCAAAUUCCAGGUCAUUCCAGAUGGGAGGGAAGUUCACAUACUUGGGAUGUCCCAGCCUAGGACCAGUCCUUCUUUAGCUGUGGUCAGAGUUGACUUUAGCUUUUUCCUCUUCACCAAGAUAAAGUAAGAUAAUGUAUAUGAGAAAGGUUGGCAGACUGCUAAACCUAAGACUCUCAAACUAUCGACAGAAACAAUUUUAAGUACACAGGGAAAGUUGGAGAUACAGCACCUGGGGAAACAGUUGGCCAGUUCCUUAAAACACAGACGGUUUCACUUGAUCCAGCAAUUCAGAUCUUCAGGAGAAAGUAAUAUGAAGACAGUUGACAGCAAGUGUCUACACAGAAACUUGGUGCAUAAGUGUUCAUAACAUCAUCAUCGGUAAUAACCGCAGCUGGGUUAGUGUCACCCCAUUAAAUGCAGUGUUCCUGAGUGGUAAAAAGCAAUGAAGUACUGAUGCAUGCCACAAAACGGAUAAAUCUUGAAAACAUGGUAACUGAAACAUACCAGUCAGGAAAACUCACAUGUUGUAUGAUUCCAAUUAUACGGAAUGGCCAGACAAGGCAAAUCUACAGAGAAAGUAGGUUAAUUUCUGCUGGUGUUGAAAGGAAAGGAAAAAUGGAUAGUGAAUUUAAUGGACAAUAGUUUGUUCUGGAGAUAAUAAAAAUACUCUAAAAUUUAUGGUGAUGGCUAUAUAACUGUGAACAUACUAAAAACCACUAAAUUGUGUAUUUUAAAUGGGUAUUGUUAUGGUAUGUGAAUAAAGCUUUUAUUUUUUUUUAUUUUAAUAAAAAGAGGAAAAAUGGUUUGCACCCAAAUGUUUUCACCUCCUAUCCUUAACCCUCUGUCUCACCACCACCUAGGUCCAGAAGAGUUUUCUCUUAAACUCAAGAUUUUUUGUUUGUUUGUUUGUUUCAAUGGUUUCAUUGAGCAAAUGCUAUUUCUGAAACAGGAGCAGAAAGUCAACCACUGUCAUUUUAUCCCACUAAUUCUACCCGCUCUCUGCUCCAGUAACUUUUAAGCAUGAGUAAGAAAGGAAGCCUAUAAUACAGGAUUGAGUCGUUCCUAAAGUGAGGUGAAGGAAGGAUCAGCCAGCAGGAUAGAUCCCUUCUACUACUAUUCA